AGCAGCCGCGGUAAUUCCAGCUCCAAUAGCGUAUAUUAAAGUUGUUGCAGUUAAAAAGCUCGUAGUUGAAUUUCGGGAUUUGUCAGUUGGUCGGGCUUCACUGUCCGUACUGACUUGAUGAGUUCCUACCUUCUGAAUAACCAGCAUGCUAUUAAGUUAGUGCGUUGGGGAAGCAGAUCUAUUACCUUGAAAAAUUAGAGUGCUUAAAGCGGGCUUAUGCUUGAAUAGAUUAGCAUGGAAUAAUAAAAUAGGACGGCAUGGUUCUAUUUUGUUGGUUUCUAGGAUCACCGUAAUGAUUAAUAGGGAUAGUUGGGGGCAUUAGUAUUCAAUUGUCAGAGGUGAAAUUCUUGGAUUUAUUGAAGACUAACUUCUGCGAAAGCAUUUGCCAAGGAUGUUUUCAUUAAUCAAGAACGAAAGUUAGGGGAUCGAAGACGAUCAGAUACCGUCGUAGUCUUAACCAUAAGCUAUGCCGACUAGGAAUCGGACGAAGUUAAUUUUUAAUGAC
RNAcentral lists this ribosomal RNA (505 nucleotides) under uncultured Acaulospora. RNAcentral's name for it is "SSU rRNA". It matches the Rfam family "Eukaryotic small subunit ribosomal RNA", at positions 569 to 1075 of the family's 1831-position model. The record is from RNAcentral. Lineage: Eukaryota; Fungi; Glomeromycota; Glomeromycetes; Diversisporales; Acaulosporaceae.